RNAcentral lists this ribosomal RNA (460 nucleotides) under uncultured bacterium. Its description in RNAcentral is "partial 16S ribosomal RNA". It matches the Rfam family "Bacterial small subunit ribosomal RNA", at positions 338 to 795 of the family's 1533-position model. The record is from RNAcentral.
CCUACGGGAGGCAGCAGUGAGGAAUAUUGGUCAAUGGACGAGAGUCUGAACCAGCCAAGUCGCGUGAAGGAUGACUGCCCUAUGGGUUGUAAACUUCUUUUAUAUGGGAAUAAAACGUUCCACGUGUGGGAUUUUGUAUGUACCAUAUGAAUAAGGAUCGGCUAACUCCGUGCCAGCAGCCGCGGUAAUACGGAGGAUCCGAGGGUUAUCCGGAUUUAUUGGGUUUAAAGGGAGCGUAGGUGGAUUGUUAAGUCAGUUGUGAAAGUUUGCGGCUCAACCGUAAAAUUGCAGUUGAAACUGGCAGUCUUGAGUACAGUAGAGGUAGGCGGAAUUCGUGGUGUAGCGGUGAAAUGCUUAGAUAUCACGAAGAACUCCGAUUGCGAAGGCAGUUCACUGGACUGCAACUGACACUGAGGCUCGAAAGUGUGGGUAUCAAACAGGAUUAGAUACCCCAGUAGUC